Molecule: long non-coding RNA, 4359 nt
Organism: Lates calcarifer (barramundi perch)
Lineage: Eukaryota; Metazoa; Chordata; Actinopteri; Centropomidae
Exons: 7
Source: RefSeq, a predicted model, not a curated record
CUUUGAUUUCCUCCAGGUGUAACCACUUCGUUGACGACAUCGUCCACGAUCACAGAGACAUGGUCCAUGAUCGGAGAGACAUUGUUGAGGAUGAGGGAGACAUCGUUCACGAUCAGAGACAUUGUCCAUGACUCGUGGUGACUCGGUCCCCGAUUAGUCGGCACUGCCGGCGUUCAGAGACAUUGUCGAUGAUCGCAGAGACUUUGUCCAUAAUCUCAGAGACAUUGUCCACGAUCACAGAGAUUUAGUCCACGAUCUCAAAGCCAUCCACGAUCACAGAGACAUGGUCCAUGAUCGGAGAGGCAUCGUUGAGGAUGAGGGAGACAUCGUCCACGAUCAGAGACGUUGUCUGUGAUCGCAGAGACCUUGUCAAAGAUGAGAGAGACGUUGUCCAUGAUCAGAGACAUUGUCGCUGCUUCGCAGAGCUCUGUACAAGAAUCGGUAGUGACACUGUGGUUCCUCGAUUCGACGGCAUGACCGUGAUCAGCUGACAUUGUUAAUGAUCACAGAGAAACAGUCUAUCAUCAGAGACUUGGUCCACGAUCACAGACACAAUGUCAAUGAUUGCAGAGACUUUGUCCAUAAUCUCAGAGACGUUGUCCGCGAUCACAGAGACGUAGUCCACGAUCACAGAGAGUCUUUGUACAAUGAAGAAGUUCUUUGAGACCAGGACAGAGGCCUCCAGGUGUAACCACUUCGUUGACGACAUCGUCCACGAUCACAGAGACAUGGUCCAUGAUCGGAGAGACAUUGUUGAGGAUGAGGGAGACAUCGUUCACGAUCAGAGACAUUGUCCAUGACUCGUGGUGACUCGGUCCCCGAUUAGUCGGCACUGCCGGCGUUCAGAGACAUUGUCGAUGAUCGCAGAGACUUUGUCCAUAAUCUCAGAGACAUUGUCCACGAUCACAGAGACUUAGUCCACGAUCUCAAAGCCAUCCACGAUCACAGAGACAUGGUCCAUGAUCGGAGAGGCAUCGUUGAGGAUGAGGGAGACAUCGUCCACGAUCAGAGACGUUGUCUGUGAUCGCAGAGACCUUGUCAAAGAUGAGAGAGACGUUGUCCAUGAUCAGAGACAUUGUCGCUGCUUCGCAGAGCUCUGUACAAGAAUCGGUAGUGACACUGUGGUUCCUCGAUUCGACGGCAUGACCGUGAUCAGCUGACAUUGUUAAUGAUCACAGAGAAACAGUCUAUCAUCAGAGACUUGGUCCACGAUCACAGACACAAUGUCAAUGAUUGCAGAGACUUUGUCCAUAAUCUCAGAGACGUUGUCCGCGAUCACAGAGACGUAGUCCACGAUCACAGAGAGUCUUUGUACAAUGAAGAAGUUCUUUGAGACCAGGACAGAGGCCUCCAGGUGUAACCACUUCGUUGACGACAUCGUCCACGAUCACAGAGACAUGGUCCAUGAUCGGAGAGACAUUGUUGAGGAUGAGGGAGACAUCGUUCACGAUCAGAGACAUUGUCCAUGACUCGUGGUGACUCGGUCCCCGAUUAGUCGGCACUGCCGGCGUUCAGAGACAUUGUCGAUGAUCGCAGAGACUUUGUCCAUAAUCUCAGAGACAUUGUCCACGAUCACAGAGACUUAGUCCACGAUCUCAAAGCCAUCCACGAUCACAGAGACAUGGUCCAUGAUCGGAGAGGCAUCGUUGAGGAUGAGGGAGACAUCGUCCACGAUCAGAGACGUUGUCUGUGAUCGCAGAGACCUUGUCAAAGAUGAGAGAGACGUUGUCCAUGAUCAGAGACAUUGUCGCUGCUUCGCAGAGCUCUGUACAAGAAUCGGUAGUGACACUGUGGUUCCUCGAUUCGACGGCAUGACCGUGAUCAGCUGACAUUGUUAAUGAUCACAGAGAAACAGUCUAUCAUCAGAGACUUGGUCCACGAUCACAGACACAUUGUCAAUGAUUGCAGAGACUUUGUCCAUAAUCUCAGAGACGUUGUCCGCGAUCACAGAGACGUAGUCCACGAUCACAGAGAGUCUUUGUACAAUGAAGAAGUUCUUUGAGACCAGGACAGAGGCCUCCAGGUGUAACCACUUCGUUGACGACAUCGUCCACGAUCACAGAGACAUGGUCCAUGAUCGGAGAGACAUUGUUGAGGAUGAGGGAGACAUCGUUCACGAUCAGAGACAUUGUCCAUGACUCGUGGUGACUCGGUCCCCGAUUAGUCGGCACUGCCGGCGUUCAGAGACAUUGUCGAUGAUCGCAGAGACUUUGUCCAUAAUCUCAGAGACAUUGUCCACGAUCACAGAGACUUAGUCCACGAUCUCAAAGCCAUCCACGAUCACAGAGACAUGGUCCAUGAUCGGAGAGGCAUCGUUGAGGAUGAGGGAGACAUCGUCCACGAUCAGAGACGUUGUCUGUGAUCGCAGAGACCUUGUCAAAGAUGAGAGAGACGUUGUCCAUGAUCAGAGACAUUGUCGCUGCUUCGCAGAGCUCUGUACAAGAAUCGGUAGUGACACUGUGGUUCCUCGAUUCGACGGCAUGACCGUGAUCAGCUGACAUUGUUAAUGAUCACAGAGAAACAGUCUAUCAUCAGAGACUUGGUCCACGAUCACAGACACAAUGUCAAUGAUUGCAGAGACUUUGUCCAUAAUCUCAGAGACGUUGUCCGCGAUCACAGAGACGUAGUCCACGAUCACAGAGAGUCUUUGUACAAUGAAGAAGUUCUUUGAGACCAGGACAGAGGCCUCCAGGUGUAACCACUUCGUUGACGACAUCGUCCACGAUCACAGAGACAUGGUCCAUGAUCGGAGAGACAUUGUUGAGGAUGAGGGAGACAUCGUUCACGAUCAGAGACAUUGUCCAUGACUCGUGGUGACUCGGUCCCCGAUUAGUCGGCACUGCCGGCGUUCAGAGACAUUGUCGAUGAUCGCAGAGACUUUGUCCAUAAUCUCAGAGACAUUGUCCACGAUCACAGAGACUUAGUCCACGAUCUCAAAGCCAUCCACGAUCACAGAGACAUGGUCCAUGAUCGGAGAGGCAUCGUUGAGGAUGAGGGAGACAUCGUCCACGAUCAGAGACGUUGUCUGUGAUCGCAGAGACCUUGUCAAAGAUGAGAGAGACGUUGUCCAUGAUCAGAGACAUUGUCGCUGCUUCGCAGAGCUCUGUACAAGAAUCGGUAGUGACACUGUGGUUCCUCGAUUCGACGGCAUGACCGUGAUCAGCUGACAUUGUUAAUGAUCACAGAGAAACAGUCUAUCAUCAGAGACUUGGUCCACGAUCACAGACACAUUGUCAAUGAUUGCAGAGACUUUGUCCAUAAUCUCAGAGACGUUGUCCGCGAUCACAGAGACGUAGUCCACGAUCACAGAGAGUCUUUGUACAAUGAAGAAGUUCUUUGAGACCAGGACAGAGGCCUCCAGGUGUAACCACUUCGUUGACGACAUCGUCCACGAUCACAGAGACAUGGUCCAUGAUCGGAGAGACAUUGUUGAGGAUGAGGGAGACAUCGUUCACGAUCAGAGACAUUGUCCAUGACUCGUGGUGACUCGGUCCCCGAUUAGUCGGCACUGCCGGCGUUCAGAGACAUUGUCGAUGAUCGCAGAGACUUUGUCCAUAAUCUCAGAGACAUUGUCCACGAUCACAGAGACUUAGUCCACGAUCUCAAAGCCAUCCACGAUCACAGAGACAUGGUCCAUGAUCGGAGAGGCAUCGUUGAGGAUGAGGGAGACAUCGUCCACGAUCAGAGACGUUGUCUGUGAUCGCAGAGACCUUGUCAAAGAUGAGAGAGACGUUGUCCAUGAUCAGAGACAUUGUCGCUGCUUCGCAGAGCUCUGUACAAGAAUCGGUAGUGACACUGUGGUUCCUCGAUUCGACGGCAUGACCGUGAUCAGCUGACAUUGUUAAUGAUCACAGAGAAACAGUCUAUCAUCAGAGACUUGGUCCACGAUCACAGACACAAUGUCAAUGAUUGCAGAGACUUUGUCCAUAAUCUCAGAGACGUUGUCCGCGAUCACAGAGACGUAGUCCACGAUCACAGAGAGUCUUUGUACAAUGAAGAAGUUCUUUGAGACCAGGACAGAGGCCUCCAGGUGUAACCACUUCGUUGACGACAUCGUCCACGAUCACAGAGACAUGGUCCAUGAUCGGAGAGACAUUGUUGAGGAUGAGGGAGACAUCGUUCACGAUCAGAGACAUUGUCCAUGACUCGUGGUGACUCGGUCCCCGAUUAGUCGGCACUGCCGGCGUUCAGAGACAUUGUCGAUGAUCGCAGAGACUUUGUCCAUAAUCUCAGAGACAUUGUCCACGAUCACAGAGACGUAGUCCACGAUCACAGUCUUUAUACAAUGAAGUUCUUUGAGACCUGGACAGAGGCCUUCAGGUAAUUCACCAACAGCUUUACAUCAACUGUCCCAACACA